CGUUGAUUAACCAUAACAAUUAUAUACUGAGUGGGGCGUUCUCGCAUGAAUGGUCCGAUCUUGUUUAUUCGAUAUUCAAAAGGGCGCCAAAUUUUCGUUUCAUCGUAGUAUCGUUUAAUUGGUAUGAGUUGUGUUGAGAAGUGAAGGAACUAUGUCCGCGCGCAGUAACUGAAUAGUAGAAAUUGCGACAGAUAAUGGCCGUGAAAAGCCCAGAAAGUUUCAAGAAUAAUCUUAUAUUUGAUACUUAUAUUUCAAGGAUUUUCAACUGACGUGAUCACUCAAAGAAAUAAAACGCCAUAUAUGGUCAGGAGAGGAGAAGCAGUUAGUACUAAUACACUUCAAGAAUCAUGUGAGGAAUAAUAAUCCUUCCAGAAGACAUGAAUGUAUGGUAUUCAUUUCCAAGCAUUCACCAAGUUUCCAGAAUGAUGACCGAGUUUGAAUUAAAAUCCUGGUAUAUAAAGAAUACCAAAAAAUAGAGUGUAAUUGAAAAUAUUUGAUUGAGUCUGAAAAAAAUUCAUUAUAUUUUUGUUUUGUUAUUUUUAAACCUUAUUUGUAGACUUGCAAUUAUGUGAUAUUUUGAGUUUUCAUUAAAUUUAUAUUUUCAA
Long non-coding RNA from Harmonia axyridis, 605 nucleotides. RefSeq lists it as uncharacterized. The transcript has 2 exons. NCBI's taxonomy places the organism in Eukaryota, Metazoa, Arthropoda, Insecta, Coleoptera, Coccinellidae. The record is from RefSeq and is a predicted model, not a curated record.